GCUUUCCAAAUGGGACAUGAACGCCAAUAUAAACAGCUCUGUGGCUCUCUAGUUCUUCUUUCUCAAAGUUUGUAUUGAUAGUAGAGCUGAUUUUGCCCAUAUCCACGACAGCUUCCUCAUCAUGACCCGUGGUGAGCAACGGUCUCAUCUGCUCGCCGGCCCGCUCCUCUUCCAUCGCGGCCCCGCCGAGUUCGCCGGCAGCGAGACGAGAAGCGGAAGGCGGGCGGGAGCCGGGCGCUGCUGCCUGCCGGGCGGAGGUACGCGGCGUCGCUGCCCUCGGGACGGGGCGGCCGCGACUGCUCCGCCGCGCCGGGGGCCGAGCCCAGGCCGC
This 331-nucleotide long non-coding RNA is filed under the name Gallus gallus (chicken). Lineage: Eukaryota; Metazoa; Chordata; Aves; Galliformes; Phasianidae. The record is from RNAcentral.